RNAcentral lists this ribosomal RNA (293 nucleotides) under uncultured bacterium. RNAcentral's name for it is "partial 16S ribosomal RNA". It matches the Rfam family "Bacterial small subunit ribosomal RNA", at positions 505 to 796 of the family's 1533-position model. The record is from RNAcentral.
GUGUCAGCCGCCGCGGUAAUACGAAGGGGGCUAGCGUUGUUCGGAAUUACUGGGCGUAAAGCGCGCGCAGGCGGCCUUGCAAGUCAGAGGUGAAAUCCCAGAGCUUAACUCCGGAAUUGCCUUUGAGACUGCUUGGCUUCGAGUACGGGAGAGGUGAGUGGAAUUCCCAGUGUAGAGGUGAAAUUCGUAGAUAUUGGGAAGAACACCGGUGGCGAAGGCGGCUCACUGGCCCGUUACUGACGCUCAGGCGCGACAGCGUGGGGAUCAAACAGGAUUAGAUACCCCCGUAGUCC